AACGAACGCUGGCGGCAUGCCUAACACAUGCAAGUCGAACGAGACCUUCGGGUCUAGGGGCGCACGGGGGCGUAACGCGUGGGAACCUGCCCUUAGGUUCGGAAUAACUCCCCGAAAGGGGUGCUAAUACCGGAUAAUGUCUUCGGACCAAAGAUUUAUCGCCUUUGGAUGGGCCCGCGUUGGAUUAGCUAGUUGGUAGGGUAAAAGCCUACCAAGGCGACGAUCCAUAGCUGGUCUGAGAGGCUGAUCAGCCACACUGGGACUGAGACACGGCCCAGACUCCUACGGGAGGCAGCAGUGGGGAAUAUUGGACAAUGGGCGAAAGCCUGAUCCAGCAAUGCCGCGUGAGUGAUGAAGGCCUUAGGGUUGUAAAGCUCUUUUACCCGGGAUGAUAAUGACAGUACCGGGAGAAUAAGCUCCGGCUAACUCCGUG
This 433-nucleotide ribosomal RNA is filed under the name uncultured bacterium. Its description in RNAcentral is "partial 16S ribosomal RNA". It matches the Rfam family "Bacterial small subunit ribosomal RNA", at positions 29 to 507 of the family's 1533-position model. The record is from RNAcentral.